GACGAACGCUGGCGGCGUGCUUAACACAUGCAAGUCGAACGGUAAGGCUCCAGCUUGCUGGGGUACACGAGUGGCGAACGGGUGAGUAACACGUGGGUGACCUGCCCUGCACUUCGGGAUAAGCCUGGGAAACUGGGUCUAAUACCGGAUAGGACCGCACCGUGAGGGUGUGGUGGAAAGUUUUUUCGGUGUGGGAUGGGCCCGCGGCCUAUCAGCUUGUUGGUGGGGUAAUGGCCUGCCAAGGCGGCGACGGGUAGCCGGCCUGAGAGGGUGGACGGCCACAUUGGGACUGAGACACGGCCCAGACUCCUACGGGAGGCAGCAGUGGGGAAUAUUGCACAAUGGGCGGAAGCCUGAUGCAGCGACGCCGCGUGGGGGAUGACGGCCUUCGGGUUGUAAACUCCUUUCACCAUCGACGAAGGGUUUCUGACGGUAGAUGGAGAAGAAGCACCGGCUAACUACGUGCCAGCAGCCGCGGUAAUACGUAGGGUGCGAGCGUUGUCCGGAAUUACUGGGCGUAAAGAGCUCGUAGGUGGUUUGUCGCGUCGUCUGUGAAAUUCCGGGGCUUAACUCCGGGCGUGCAGGCGAUACGGGCAUAACUUGAGUACUGUAGGGGAGACUGGAAUUCCUGGUGUAGCGGUGAAAUGCGCAGAUAUCAGGAGGAACACCGGUGGCGAAGGCGGGUCUCUGGGCAGUAACUGACGCUGAGGAGCGAAAGCAUGGGGAGCGAACAGGAUUAGAUACCCUGGUAGUCCAUGCCGUAAACGGUGGGCGCUAGGUGUGGGUUUCCUUCCACGGGAUCCGUGCCGUAGCUAACGCAUUAAGCGCCCCGCCUGGGGAGUACGGCCGCAAGGCUAAAACUCAAAGGAAUUGACGGGGGCCCGCACAAGCGGCGGAGCAUGUGGAUUAAUUCGAUGCAACGCGAAGAACCUUACCUGGGCUUGACAUAUACAGGAUCGCGCCAGAGAUGGUGUUUCCCUUGUGGCUUGUAUACAGGUGGUGCAUGGUUGUCGUCAGCUCGUGUCGUGAGAUGUUGGGUUAAGUCCCGCAACGAGCGCAACCCUUGUCUUAUGUUGCCAGCACGUUGUGGUGGGGACUCGUAAGAAACUGCCGGGGUUAACUCGGAGGAAGGUGGGGAUGACGUCAAAUCAUCAUGCCCCUUAUGUCCAGGGCUUCACACAUGCUACAAUGGUCGGUACAGUGGGUUGCCAGUCCGUGAGGGCGAGCUAAUCCCGCAAAGCCGGUCUCAGUUCGGAUCGGGGUCUGCAACUCGACCCCGUGAAGUCGGAGUCGCUAGUAAUCGCAGAUCAGCAACGCUGCGGUGAAUACGUUCCCGGGCCU
This 1341-nucleotide ribosomal RNA is filed under the name uncultured bacterium. Its description in RNAcentral is "partial 16S ribosomal RNA". It matches the Rfam family "Bacterial small subunit ribosomal RNA", at positions 28 to 1381 of the family's 1533-position model. The record is from RNAcentral.